CAGCCAAUGAUGAUGAAACAAGUCUCUGGAUGUCAGAGAGCUUCUAUGUACUCACAUGUAAAGCUUACUUGCGAUGGCUG
RNAcentral lists this small RNA (80 nucleotides) under Salix viminalis (osier). The record is from RNAcentral. Lineage: Eukaryota; Viridiplantae; Streptophyta; Magnoliopsida; Malpighiales; Salicaceae.